AUUUUGCAGGACUUUCAGGAGAAAAUCCACAAUAUGAUCAGAUUAUUAGUGAUGGAAAUGAGGUUCCUGUUCGUGUGUUUGCAAUUCCAGAGAAACAAGAUGUUCUUCAAGAACUAGUAGAAAUCCCACUAGAUAAUUACAAUAUUAUUAGUAAUGAAAAUGAUUUCCAGACCCCUCUGAUCAAGAUGUGCUUCAAGAACUAGCAGAAAUCCCACUAGAUGGUAAGUUAAUUUUAUAAUUUUAAUCUCUUGUGCAAAAUGCGCGCUUUGAGGCGUUCAUCUGUCUUUGCUAGAUAAUUUAAACUUCUUUAAAUUUCUAGCAAUUUUGUUUUUCAGAUGAUGUUAUGCAGUGCAUUGUAAACACAACUGUACUGGCUACAGGAAGUGAUUUUCCUGAUACCAUCAUAAUAGGUAGAUGCCGAAAAUAUUAACACUGAACAAAUACACCAUUUUAAAAAAAUACAGAAAAAACCUACAGAUAUCAAUCUACAUAACUAUGAACAAAAAAAUAAUACAAUGCAAUUAAAGAAUGUUUUAACAGAGAGAGAAGUAGGCCACUAUCACAUUGAAGGUGAUUUGGUAAAUCUCUUCACGCAUGGAAGCAACCUAGAAAAUCAACUUGAAGUUCAGUUGAGUGCUGAUCAGGGUUUAAUCAUAGUUUCAGCAGACAACCUUGGAGAAGGGAAUGCAAACGAGUUGAGUGAUGAUCACCCUAAAAUCCCAGUUUUGAUAGAAAACGUCGUAGAAGAACAGCAUGCAUUGGAACCUGCUAACUUAUAUACUAAAGAGGGAAACUUGAGAAACAGAAAAAAAUAUGACCUGGCGUUGGAAACACGUAAACGUAUAAAAUUAAACCAGAUAAGAGAAGACCAUAGACCGUUGCCGUCGUGCGAUCGUGAUAAAUGCAGAAAAAAAUGCAAUAUUAAAAUAUCAGAAGUUCGACCACAAAUGUAAAUCGUGCAGAGCUAUUUACAUCUAUGGUUCGACGUUCGGAAAUCAAUCAGCAGUUUUGGAAUUUGUCUUGGUUAGAACGGCGAACAUUUAUUUUUAAUACCUGCAAACGCUUGGCAAUGAAAAGGCGACCCAAGUCUGCAGAAAGUGAGAAAAAGCAAAAUACUUUUAAGUAUUAAGUAUUAUUUCCCCGACGAAAAAUUAUUAACUGAGGCAGUUACUCAUGAAGUCUGUAAGGUAUUUUUCCUUACCACAUUAGUUUAUAAGAAAACUAAUGAUCGGGUGAUAACAGAAGUUUUAUCAAAAACAGAAAAAGGAAAUCUUCAACCAAAUCGAGACCAGCGCGGGAAAUACAACAAACACAAUAAAUUUGAAGACGAAGACUUACUUAAACAGCGCAUUGAAUCGUUUAACCCCACAAUCUCUCAUUAUCGCCGCGAGCACGCGCCGCACACUAGAUACUUGAUUCGUAUGAAUUGUAUCGCCGAAAAGUGAAGAACUUACGUAUAUCAUUUGCAUCUCUAGCUCACGAGGAAUGCGAAGGUUGUGAAGAAUUUCAAUUGCAUGGCCAUUUGAAGGACAAUCUACAACCUGAUUGUGAGCAAUGUGAAAUCUGGAAAAAACAUAUAGAUAAAGCCAGUGCAGCUCGAAAUCUGUAUCGACAACACGCUGAACAGACGUUUGAAAAUGGUACAGUUUGUUGCUCAGCAGACCUCCAGAAAGUUAUCAUACUGCCACGAAUUGACUGUUUUAAAAAAGUUAUCUUAUAAAGAAUAUCACGAAAGUUUUGUUCCAGUUGGUAAAAAAUCAAACAUUAAGCCAUAUGCCUGCAUAUGGCAUGAGGGCAUCACCGGGCGAAAUAAAGAGGAUAUCGUGAGUACUUUUUAUGCAUUCUUUGUGAAAUACAGAGAUUCACCACGGAUUAUCUUAUGGCUGGACAACUGCACCAGCCAAAAUAAAAAUUGGUGUUUUCUAGCCUUUUUGAUAUAUAUUGUGAAUUCGGAUGAAAUGGCCAUUAAUGAAAUAAACAUACACUACUUUGUCCCGGGCCAUACAUUUAUGUCGGCUGAUAGCUUCCACCAUCAGGUGGAAGCUGCCUUGCAGAAGCAGAAAAAGACCUAUGAUUUUAAAGAUUUUUCAGCUGCUAUUCAAAGUGCGAAUAAGUCAAAAGUGGAGGUAAAAGAAAUGCAGUACUCGGAAAAAAUACAAAAGGCAGAAAACAGAUUAUAUCUAACAGACAUUGUUAAUAUAAAAGCUAUAAGGGGAAGUUAUGAAUUAAAAUGUAAAUCUGAUUUAACGAAAGAUGAUUAUAUAACAUAAGAUUUUUUAUGAAAAAAAAUGGAAUGCCUGCACCCUCUCCUUUAAAAGUACCAUGUGGAGUGUCAUUUAAAAAAACGAGAAAGUAUUCUCAAAAAUUUAAGUUCUGUUCUUCCAAAAAAUAGACAAACAUUUUGGAAAGAAUUGGCAAUAAACACUCCUCCGUAGUGGACAAUAUUUUCAGGCAAGGUUAAGUUUUUAUUUUGUUUAGAUUUAGUUUUUGUUAAAAAUAAUUCAAGAUAUUUUUACGAUAAGAUCCGCAAAAAGAAUUUCAAUUAGUUUUUUAAUGCAUUACUAGGCAUAUGUGCAGCAAGUGAAGCUAGCUUAAUAAAAAAGCCGUAUGUGCGCGCAUAAACGGCAUUUUUGCUUAGUAAUGUUAAUGCCUUGUUUGCUGUAUAUACAUUUAUUAGUAGAAAUAAUUAUUUUAUAUUAAAACGGAUUAUUAGAAAGUAUUCACAAUAAAAAAUUUGCAUAUAAAACAUGUGUUUCAUUUCCCCUAAUUGUGAGCAGGGUUUUUGGUAACCAUCAAAUGAAAAAAAGCUCGAUAUCUCAAAAUGGCAAUUUUGCACUUACGGCACUUUCAUUUAGCACGGCAGCAUAGGUGACUGAUUUUAAGUUAACAUGUUGCAAGAAAUUAUUAGCCAAAGCUUUUAAAAUUAUAAUUAGUGUUAAUAAUAGAGAUAAAAUAAACUGCAUAUUGUUGUAUCAUUAAUUGUAGGCUAAUAAAUUACAUUAAACCUUCGACAUUUAUAGAACAAUAUGCUUAAUUGUAGUGGAGUAAUGUACUUGGAAUAAGUCAUUGAGGGAUAUAAAUAAUAGUUUAGCACCCACCAGAUUCAGUUUCUCAAGUGUUUUUACUCAUAAUUUGUCUUGGAAUGAUAUGCUAAAGUAACUCUAUAAACUUUAACAUUUUAGUAGGGUACAAUGUGUUUAGGUUCAAGUCAAGUCAAUAAAUCAUUUUAUCAUCUAAGAUUCUUAUAUCUUGAUAAAUUCAAUCAAUACAUUUUACACAAGUUAAGAAAUGACACACACAACCCACUUAUGGACCCUGGAACUAAUGAAAAAUUUCAAGAUACUGUCUUUUUUAACUGCUUGGAAAAUGGCAAAAAGAGUUUUUCCAAGCCAGUAUAGUCAAUUCAAAUAAUAAGACUUUUCAACUACCUGGAAAAGAUAAAAAAUUUCUCAUUUCCGGGUGAGCAACACAGUUUUAACAAAUAUCACAGUCAGGAAUCAAGUGAAACCCCAAUGACUUUAUUCAUUUGUUGCAUAAAUUUAUAGUAAAAACCAAGGUUGGUACUUAUGCUUAGGUAGUUGUAGAUUUUCUGCUUCAUAUACUAUCCAAAUUUACCUUGGUGUAGAUUUAAAGUCCAGAAGGUUUGUAGUUUUUACCAUUCUAAAAUUCAAAUCUUCAACCUGUUGUAGUCUGUUCGACAAGGGUCUCUCAUUGUACAACACGCCACCAAAAUAACUUACAAUUAGGACAGUUCAGAAGUCAGUACUUGCGGAAAAUGUUCAUUUUCAAUUAAAUGGUCAGACAAUUUCAUUAUCUCAAAAGAUGAAAGUCUUAUUUGGUGUGAAUGUUGACAGCUCUCUAAGAUUCUAGGAAUAUGUUUAUUUACUGUUGUGAAUACUUAUAGAGUAGACCUGCAUUAUACUGAACACACUGUCUAGUGAACUAUUCUCAAUAGUGAACAGACAUUUUUUCCUUAAUGUAUUCUGUCAAGUGAACAAAUUGAUUCUCAAAAUAGUAAACCCAAUAGUUUUAUUAGGUAAACAAACAAGUUAGGACAAGAAAAAGAUAUUAAACCAUUUGUUUCUUUUCGGGCAAUUAGUUUUCUUUAGUAUUUGGGUGCAGUAGGUCGCGUCACGCCGCCAGAAUAAUUAUGGCAAAAAUUAGAAAGCAUUUAACCCUAAGCGAUAAAGCCAAAAUAUUAGAAGAAUUAAAGAAAGGUGUCGGAGUGACCAUUUUGUCUAGACAAUAUGGUGUUGCUAAAUUCACUAUAUGCGCGAUUCGUUACAGAAGGAUAAAGGUUUUAAAACCAUUCAACAGUACUUUCAUAGGACCUGGAAAAGCGAAAACUUUGAGACAAUCAGAGUGUCCUAGAAUGGAAAAAGCUUUAUAUAAGUGGUUCUUAAAAACAAGGGAGAGAAAUUUUCCGGUAACUGGUUUAAUGAUCCAAGAGAAGGCCAAGUUACUUCACAGUGAAUACAAGGAAUCUCCUUCU
RNAcentral lists this long non-coding RNA (4492 nucleotides) under Anthonomus grandis grandis. RNAcentral's name for it is "uncharacterized LOC126744983". The record is from RNAcentral. Lineage: Eukaryota; Metazoa; Arthropoda; Insecta; Coleoptera; Curculionidae.